UACGAAGGGAGCUAGCGUUGUUCGGAAUCACUGGGCGUAAAGCGCACGUAGGCGGAUGUGUCAGUCAGGGGUGAAAUCCCGGAGCUCAACUUCGGAACUGCCUUUGAUACAGCACGUCUUGAGUCCGAUAGAGGUGGGUGGAAUUCCUAGUGUAGAGGUGAAAUUCGUAGAUAUUAGGAAGAACACCAGUGGCGAAGGCGGCUCACUGGCCCGUAACUGACGCUGAGGUGCGAAAGCGUGGGGAGCAAACAGG
This 253-nucleotide ribosomal RNA is filed under the name uncultured bacterium. RNAcentral describes it as "partial 16S ribosomal RNA". It matches the Rfam family "Bacterial small subunit ribosomal RNA", at positions 524 to 776 of the family's 1533-position model. The record is from RNAcentral.